This is a non-coding RNA of Coffea arabica (coffee), 84 nucleotides long. Lineage: Eukaryota; Viridiplantae; Streptophyta; Magnoliopsida; Gentianales; Rubiaceae. The record is from RefSeq and is a predicted model, not a curated record.
UUGUAUACCGGAGGAGGAGGUGGUGGAGGAGACUUAUACUUGUAAACUGGGUGUGGUACCGGAUGAGGAGGUGGUGGUGGUGAC